Molecule: unclassified non-coding RNA, 379 nt
Filed under: uncultured bacterium
Lineage: Bacteria
Description: contains 16S-23S intergenic spacer region
Source: RNAcentral
UCCGGUUUGGCACCGGCAGUCCUCCCAGAGUCCUCGGCAUGACCCGGUAGCAACUGGGAGCGGGGGUUGCGCUCGUUGCGGGACUUAACCCAACAUCUCACGACACGAGCUGACGACAGCCAUGCAGCACCUGUGCACGAGUCCCGAAGGAGGCCCUCGGUUUCUCGAGGGUUUCUCGUGUAUGUCAAGCCUAGGUAAGGUUCUUCGCGUUGCGUCGAAUUAAACCACAUACUCCACCGCUUGUGCGGGCCCCCGUCAAUUCUUUUGAGUUUCAGUCUUGCGACCGUACUCCCCAGGCGGACAACUUAACGCGUUAGCUGCGACACUGGGAGGCUUACCCUCUCAACGUCUAGUUCUCAUCGUUUAUGGCGUGGACUAC